GGAAUGAUGGCCGAAAAAGGUGAAACAUUGUAAGUGUUUAUAUGAUAAAAAUAUCUCUUUCCA
This 63-nucleotide transfer RNA is filed under the name Linognathus africanus. RNAcentral's name for it is "tRNA-Tyr". Lineage: Eukaryota; Metazoa; Arthropoda; Insecta; Psocodea; Linognathidae. The record is from RNAcentral.